UUCAUAAUAAAUAUGCAUAUACGGCGUAUUGAUUUGUGGCUGCACAUGCAUCACUCGCUAUUCUUCCUUGUGUAAUAAGUAUUCUGAUUUAUGUGUGUAUUAAUGUAACGUCACCAUCUUGUUCAGUAUCGAAUGACAAAAUUCAAAUUGGUCUACAUAUGCAUAAUCAAUCACAGUUUCGUUUAUACAUACCCGAGUCAUGUGGAGACUGGUUAUUGUUCGAGUGAUUAAUAGUAUAAAAUGGAAAAUUACACGGUUUUUAAUUAUUCUGGAAGUUGAAUCGUAUAGCACAAAUAGUUGAACAAAAUGCAAUUAACAAUCUACUUUUUAAAACAAAGGAUGAUUAAAAUAAUUUUAUUUAAGGGCGACGUAUGUAUGUAGGAACUAUUAUUGCAGCUGAGCUGUAAUAUUGAAUUCAGUUUCUUCUUAAUUUCAUGCCAUUGUUUAAGAAGAUCCUUGUUCAAUAGAAAAGCCGACCACUACUUGGCGAAUACGGCAGCAUUGAUAUCAUGCUACUUACCAUCUCGAUAUUAUUGGCCCUCUCCAUUUCCAUGCAAGUUGAUGGUAGAAGAUUCAAGGAUGGUUUGACGACCAAAUGUUUGGACAACGUGGUCAAACCGAAGGUCUCCAAGGGGAGUGCCCACACGAAUCCUUGUAAUGGUGGCAGCCAUCAAAACUGGCACUGGGGUAAGGAUCACACCAUUAAGAACUUCGCCACUGGGCAAUGUUUAGAGGCGGAUGGAAAAACGGUCUACACGAUGAGUUGUCAUGGGACGAAGACGAGUCAGAAAUGGAGAGGUGACGGGGCAGGAAGCAUUAUCAAUUUCGCAUCAAAAAAGUGUCUCAAGAGUUCGAUGAAGGGACUCGCAUUUCCACAGGAUUGCAGUAUCGGAAGGAAGGCUUGGUUGGAGUGAAAGUAUUAUGUAUGUAUGUAGCUACAUGAAUAUAUGGAAUGUGAACCGUUUUGAAUGUGUAUCAGCAAAGCUAUUUUCGUAUUUUUAUGUAAGAAAUAACAGAUAUGUAUGUAUUUAUAGGCAUCCAUGCACAUAUGCAAUAUUACUGUUCAUGUAAAAAAUGUGGCCUUCGAAAGCCAAAAGGUUAUCUGGCAGCUAUUUUAAAUAAUUUUAAGGGAUACAUAUAUUAGCAAUUUGUAUUCUCCCACCGAAUUGCUGUAUGGGAUAAAAUAAUCAAAAUGAAAAAAUUCCUCCAGGUAACCUUUAGGAAUUUCUAGGGUCGCAUUUUUUAUUGGUAAUUAUUACAUAUAUUAUUAGAGUAAUUAUUACAGGUAAUUAGUUGACUUACAAUAAGCUAAGUAAUAUGCAUGUAGUACAUUAAAUUAUGUAUGUAUUUAGUUACACUUUAGCAUCUUAUUAACUGAUUGAUUACACAAAUACAUGUGUGUAUUACGAAUGUAUGUACGUGUCAUAAACUUUUACUACUUAUUGAUUCUCAUGAGAAAAAUAAAACCUGAAGUACUUAUCGCUACA
Molecule: long non-coding RNA, 1487 nt
Organism: Folsomia candida
Lineage: Eukaryota; Metazoa; Arthropoda; Collembola; Entomobryomorpha; Isotomidae
Exons: 3
Source: RefSeq, a predicted model, not a curated record